This 375-nucleotide unclassified non-coding RNA is filed under the name soil metagenome. RNAcentral describes it as "partial contains 5.8S ribosomal RNA, internal transcribed spacer 2, and large subunit ribosomal RNA". The stretch from base 1 to 120 matches the Rfam family "5.8S ribosomal RNA", at positions 35 to 154 of the family's 154-position model. The record is from RNAcentral.
GAUGAAGAACGCAGCGAAAUGCGAUAAGUAAUGUGAAUUGCAGAAUUCAGUGAACCAUCGAAUCUUUGAACGCACAUUGCGCCCGGCAGUAAUCUGCCGGGCAUGCCUGUCCGAGCGUCAUUUCUCCCCUCGAGCGCAGCUUUCCCCCCCGGGGGAGGGCCGCGCCCGGUGUUGGGGCGCUACGGAGGGGCCCAGCGCUCCCCCGUAGGCCCCGAAAUGUAGUGGCGGUCCCGCCGCGGCGCCCCCUGCGUAGUAGUUUUACAACUCGCAUCGGGUCCCGGCGGAGGCCAGCCGUCAAACCCCCCAACUUCAAUAGUUUGACCUCGGAUCAGGUAGGGUUACCCGCUGAACUUAAGCAUAUCAAUAAGCGGAGGA